Molecule: long non-coding RNA, 1160 nt
Filed under: Calidris pygmaea (Spoon-billed sandpiper)
Lineage: Eukaryota; Metazoa; Chordata; Aves; Charadriiformes; Scolopacidae
Description: lncRNA (ENSCPGG00000002887.1)
Source: RNAcentral
AAGCAGGAGGAGCUGAGGGCUGUGGCAGGAAGGGGGAACCGCAGCAAAACCAAACCACACCAGCGAGUCGCCAUCCUCACCAGCAGCCGUUUGCUGUUGCAGCCCGGUCCCUGGGCCCCCAGACGCUUCCAUGGCCCUGCCAAUUUCCAUGGGAACGAGGAGGACGGGAGAUGGGCACCCCACGACUGUCCCCCACCACCCCCUUGGGAUGACAGAGAAGAUGGCCGAGGACCUGAGGACUGGUUCAAAGAAGACUGGGACCCGCCCAGUCCCUGGUACUGCGGACCCGUCCCUGACUCUGCCGACUUCCCUUGGGAUGAGGAGGACAGGAGAUGGGCAUCCCAUGACCGUCCACCGCCGCCCCCUUGGGACGACAGAGAAGACCACCGAGGACCUGAGGGCUGCUUCGAAGAGGACUGGCACCCGGUGAGGGGGUGAUGGGCCUGGGGGGGUGGCAGUGGCCAUGGGACUGAGGACAGGGAGUGGGUGAAAUCAAGUGGUGUUCCCCAGGGCUCAGUGUUGAUACCAUUUCUGUUUAACAUCUUCAUUGAUGAUCUUGAUAAGGACACAGGGUGUAUCACCAGUAAGUUCGCAGAUGACACCAAGUUAAGCCGGAGUGUUGAUCUGCGUGAGGACAGGGAGGCUCUACAGAGAGACUUGGACAGGUUGGAUGGAUGGGCCAACGUUAAUGGGAUGAGCUUCAGCAAGGCUGAGUGCCAGGUCCUGCACUUGGGCCACACCAACCCCCUGCAUCGGUACAGGCUUGGGGAGGGGUGGCUGGAGCUGCCUGGCGGAAAAGGGCUUGGGGGUUCUCAUUGACAAGCGGCUGAGUAUGAGCCGGCCGGGUGCCCAGGUGGCCAAGAAAGCCAAUGGCAUCCUGGCUUGGAUUAGAAAUAGUGUGACCAGCAGAAGUAGGAGGUGAUCGUCCCCCUGUACUCAGCACUGGGGGGGCCACACCUGGAGUGUUGUGUCCGGUUUUGGGCACCUCAAUACAGGAGAGAUCUCGAUCCCUUCCCCGCAGGAACAGCCCGGCCCCGACCGCUUUGCCUGGCCUGAAUUCCCCGGGGAGGAGGAGCACCCACGCUGCCCCCCCGGCAGCCUGCCAGGGUGGGUGCCCGUGCCAAGGACGGGGGGACCAUGGAGCUGUGGGGUGGCCAGCA